Molecule: transfer-messenger RNA, 351 nt
Filed under: human gut metagenome
Rfam family: transfer-messenger RNA
About the family: Bacterial tmRNA, also known as 10Sa RNA or SsrA, is named for its dual tRNA and mRNA-like properties. Its role is to liberate the mRNA from a stalled ribosome.
Source: RNAcentral
GGGGGCGUAAAGGUUUCGACGGGGAUUUUGAGAACAGGUAAGCGGGUAGAGAAUGGUAUUUAUCUCUUUAAAAUAUACCGAUUUAAAAUUAAACGCUAACGAUAAUUUAGCUAUCGCUGCCUAAGUGCGGCGCGUCCUGCCGAUGAGUACCACGGCUUCGGUCCGGGCGUCACUGAGUGGUGAACGUGAACUGCAAGUUAGCCUUUCUGACAGUCACGCAUAAAAAGGCUGUCCGAUUUUGUCUUUUGCCGAUUCAGACAUCUUCAGGAUAUAAAAUAAAACCGGCUUCACCCGAAGAAAGCCUGUAGGAUAGAUUUUCGGACAGGGGUUCGACUCCCCUCGCCUCCACCA